GAUGAACGCUGGCGGCGUGCCUAAUACAUGCAAGUCGAGCGAACAGACGAGGAGCUUGCUCCUCUGACGUUAGCGGCGGACGGGUGAGUAACACGUGGAUAACCUACCUAUAAGACUGGGAUAACUUCGGGAAACCGGAGCUAAUACCGGAUAAUAUAUUGAACCGCAUGGUUCAAUAGUGAAAGACGGUUUUGCUGUCACUAAUAGAUGGUUCCGCGCCGCAUUAGCUAGUUGGUAAGGUAACGGCUUACCAAGGCGACGAUGCGUAGCCGACCUGAGAGGGUGAUCGGCCACACUGGAACUGAGACACGGUCCAGACUCCUACGGGAGGCAGCAGUAGGGAAUCUUCCGCAAUGGGCGAAAGCCUGACGGAGCAACGCCGCGUGAGUGAUGAAGGUCUUCGGAUCGUAAAGCUCUGUUAUUAGGGAAGAACAAAUGUGUAAGUAACUAUGCACGUCUUGACGGUACCUAAUCAGAAAGCCACGGCUAACUACGUG
Molecule: ribosomal RNA, 497 nt
Filed under: uncultured bacterium
Lineage: Bacteria
Description: partial 16S ribosomal RNA
Rfam family: Bacterial small subunit ribosomal RNA
Source: RNAcentral